Molecule: long non-coding RNA, 508 nt
Organism: Pyrus x bretschneideri (Chinese white pear)
Lineage: Eukaryota; Viridiplantae; Streptophyta; Magnoliopsida; Rosales; Rosaceae
Exons: 2
Source: RefSeq, a predicted model, not a curated record
GAUUCACGCUAUUUACAACAAUGCCAGCCAAAUGCUGGGUUGGGAGGGUAAUUGUUAAAAGUUAGGAGGGUAAUUGUGUCUCUGAACAUAUUUCGAUAAAUUUACGGUUUUGCCAAUCUAAUUCUAAAAUGGCCCCUCGAUUUUACAUUAUUUACAUUUCUACCAUUGUGUGUGGCUGUGCUUCAGCCAAAACUUACGGAUUUGUGGAGGGAUUUCAGGGAGGUCGAUCUUCCUAGCGCUGGCGGCGACGGCCGGAAACAUCGACAAAAUUCUGCAGAAGAAGGGCACCGUCAUUCUUCCUCCUCUCUCUUUCAACCUCAAGGCAUCUUCUAGAACUAUUCAUGUGAAAAUUUGCUUCAGAUGGAGUUCUUCCUUUAAUUGGGUUUUAACUUUUAUUAAGUUUUUCAUGUUUUUGUAAUCAUCAUUUAAUUUAUGAGAUUUUUUUUAUGUAAUUUAUAUGAAUUUUAGUGAUUCUUAUGAGUUUUGUGUAAAUCGUCGAUUAAUUUCA